CUGGUUGAUCCUGCCAGUAGUCAUAUGCUUGUCUUAAAGACUAAGCCAUGCUUGUCUAAGUAUAAGUAUUAUACAGCGAAACUGCGAAUGGCUCAUUAAAACAGUUAUAGUUUAUUUGAUAAGUAAACCUACAUGGAUAACCGUAGUAAUUCUAGAGCUAAUACAUGCCUAAAGCCCAACUUCUGGAAGGGUGGUAUUUAUUAGAUAUCAAACCAUUACCUUCGGGUUUUGUGAUGAUUCAUAAUAACUGAACGAAUCGCAUUCUUUGCGAUGAAUCAUUCAAGUUUCUGCCCUAUCAGCUUUCGAUGGUAGUAUAUAGGACUACCAUGGCAGUCACGGGUAACGGGGAAUUAGGGUUCGAUUCCGGAGAGGGAGCCUGAGAAAUGGCUACCACAUCUAAGGAAGGCAGCAGGCGCGUAAAUUACCCAAUCCUGAUUCAGGGAGGUAGUGACAAGAAAUAACAACCCAGGCUCCUUACGGGGCUAUGGGAUUGCAAUGAGAACAAUUUAAAUCACUUAACGAGGAACAAUUGGAGGGCAAGUCUGGU
Molecule: ribosomal RNA, 547 nt
Filed under: uncultured eukaryote
Lineage: Eukaryota
Description: SSU rRNA
Rfam family: Eukaryotic small subunit ribosomal RNA
Source: RNAcentral